UCCUGGGCUAUAGCCUAAGUGUUUUAAGCGUGUUAUCCACAGAGACUGGCUGGGCCAUCCUUUUAUUAUUAUUUUUAUAACUGGGAUGCAAACCCAUUGAAUUGUCCUUUCAUGUUUGAUGUUCCAUCAGUUAAGCAUCCCACACAAUUUUUCAUAGAGAUGUUUUCUUACCCCCUGAGGACAUCUGCAACAAUCCGGAACACACUUUCCUUGGUACUUGACUCUAAGUUGCUAUAAAUAUCAGACAUUCUGUCAGCAGCUCAGGGUCACAGCUCAGGUUUCCUGAACCAAUAUCCCUCGCCCCUCUGCCUUGAGUUGUGUCUGUUAGAGGCAGUGGUAAGCAAAGCAAAGUGGAAAAUACAGUUCUUGUUUGUCAUCUCAGUGGUCGGGCUAUCUCACCUCUGAGACUUGGAUUGACUUCUUUGCUCUGAUCUGAUUUGUUACAUGUUGUAAAUGUCAUUAAGAGGCCUCCCAAGUUCAUUAGGAACCGAAAAGUCUCAAUGUUACUCCACAGCA
Non-coding RNA from Ceratotherium simum simum (southern white rhinoceros), 516 nucleotides. The record is from RefSeq and is a predicted model, not a curated record. NCBI's taxonomy places the organism in Eukaryota, Metazoa, Chordata, Mammalia, Perissodactyla, Rhinocerotidae.